GAUUUAAUAGUUUAAAAUAAAACAUCGGUCUUGUAAACCGAAAUUAGCUUACUGCUUUUAAUCU
Molecule: transfer RNA, 64 nt
Filed under: Fabaeformiscandona kushiroensis
Lineage: Eukaryota; Metazoa; Arthropoda; Ostracoda; Podocopida; Candonidae
Description: tRNA-Thr
Rfam family: tRNA
About the family: Transfer RNA (tRNA) molecules are approximately 80 nucleotides in length. Their secondary structure includes four short double-helical elements and three loops (D, anti-codon, and T loops).
Source: RNAcentral